GAAAGCCCCGGCUAACUACGUGCCAGCAGCCGCGGUAAUACGUAGGGGGCAAGCGUUGUCCGGAAUUAUUGGGCGUAAAGCGCGCGCAGGCGGUUCCUUAAGUCUGAUGUGAAAGGCCACAGCUCAACUGUGGAGGGCCAUUGGAAACUGGGGAACUUGAGGACAGAAGAGGAGAGCGGAAUUCCACGUGUAGCGGUGAAAUGCGUAGAUAUGUGGAGGAACACCAGUGGCGAAGGCGGCUCUCUGGUCUGUAACUGACGCUGAGGCGCGAAAGCAUGGGUAGCGAACAGGAUUAGAUACCCUGGUAGUCCAUGCCGUAAACGUUGAGUGCUAGGUGUUAGGGGGUCCAACCCUUAGUGCUGCAGUUAACGCAAUAAGCACUCCGCCUGGGGAGUACGGCCGCAAGGCUGAAACUCAAAGGAAUUGACGGGGGCCUGCACAAGCGGUGGAGCAUGUGGUUUAAUUCGACGCAACGCGAAGAACCUUACCAGGUCUUGACAUCUUCGGACAGCCCAAGAGAUUGGGUCUUCCCUUCGGGGACCGAAUGACAGGUGGUGCAUGGUUGUCGUCAGCUCGUGUCGUGAGAUGUUGGGUUAAGUCCCGUAACGAGCGCAACCCCUGAUCUUAGUUGCCAGCAUUCAGUUGGGCACUCUAGGAUGACUGCCGGUGACAAACCGGAGGAAGGCGGGGAUGACGUCAAAUCAUCAUGCCCCUUAUGACCUGGGCUACACACGUGCUACAAUGGAUGGUACAAAGGGAAGCCAAACCGCGAGGUCGAGCUAAUCCCAUAAAGCCAUUCUCAGUUCGGAUUGUAGGCUGCAACUCGCCUGCAUGAAGCCGGAAUCGCUAGUAAUCGCGGAUCAGAAUGCCGCGGUGAAUACG
This 882-nucleotide ribosomal RNA is filed under the name Alkalibacillus salilacus. RNAcentral describes it as "bacterial SSU rRNA". It matches the Rfam family "Bacterial small subunit ribosomal RNA", at positions 486 to 1370 of the family's 1533-position model. Lineage: Bacteria; Bacillati; Bacillota; Bacilli; Caryophanales; Bacillaceae. The record is from RNAcentral.